UUUACAUUGUCAUGGUGGAUAGGGAGCUGAUGGUGAUGGCACAAGUGCCACAUCUACCAUUCCAGGGGGAAAAAAUAUUUGGGAGUUCAAAAUUUUUGCCACUUUCAAGGUCAAUGGCAAGCUUGCUGGCUCAGUCAUAGCAAUUAUCUUUAACCAGUAAUUUAGGAAAUUAUGAAAUCCUCCUGUGAUGUACAUUGAGUACUUGUAUCAUAGUUGUUAAAAGCAUGCCUGAGGUGCGCCUAGGCGCGAGGCGAGGAAGCCAGCGCCUCAUCCCAUGCGAGGCGAGGCGACCUGCAAGAGGUACGAUGAGGCGCACAGGGGCGCCAGGCGACGUGAGGCGUGCCUUGAAAUUUUUGAGCCUGUUAAAUAAAGAAAUAGCCGGAGGCCAGAGCCCUAGCCCUCAUUUGACUCGAACCAACAGGAGCCCUAGCCCUCUCCGACCCUUCGAAGCCCCACGACCCUUUGCGAGUUCAUCUUGCACAUUUCGAACCAGCAUGAGCCUUCGCGAGCUUGUCUUCGAGCCUUCAAACCAGCAGCAUGAGUUUGUCUUCGACAUUUCAAGUCAGCACAACCCUUCGUGAGUUCGCCUUCCACAUUUCGAACCAGCAGGAGCCUUAGCGAGUUUGUUUGCAAGCCUUCGAACAAGCAGCGUGAGUUCGUCUUUGACAUUUCGAACCAGCAGCAAGCUUGUCUUUGAGCCUUUGAGAUGCUGUUUUGUUGGAUUCUAUUUUGAGCUUCUUGGUUAGUCUGCCUUGGUGCUGGAAAGAAAUCUCUUAAUCACCCAGAAUGGAUGCUGAAGCUGGACAUGUGUAUUUUGGAAAACAAAGAAAGCGAAGACUAUGACUGAAAAGAUAAGAAGGCUAAGAGCCUAAGAAUUUGAGGGGUGAAAAUGUUCUUCAAGAGGAAGUGUAAGCCCACCUCCAGGUUCACCUUGCAUGCGUAUUCGAACUGAAAGACAUCAUGAUAGCGUGCGGUGUUCGUGCCGAUGAAUGAAGAAGUUUUGUGUUGUAUUUGUAAUUUUUUUUUUUUCAUUUUCUUUAUUCUAGGAUGUAAUAUUAUUAUGGAUUGUACACUCCUAUGACUUGUAAUAAUUUGCAUCAUGUAUGAUAGGUAGGUAUGCUUAAACAGACCCUAGU
Malania oleifera is the source of this 1136-nucleotide long non-coding RNA. RefSeq lists it as uncharacterized. The record is from RefSeq and is a predicted model, not a curated record. Lineage: Eukaryota; Viridiplantae; Streptophyta; Magnoliopsida; Santalales; Ximeniaceae. The transcript has 5 exons.